RNAcentral lists this ribosomal RNA (497 nucleotides) under uncultured bacterium. RNAcentral's name for it is "partial 16S ribosomal RNA". It matches the Rfam family "Bacterial small subunit ribosomal RNA", at positions 28 to 507 of the family's 1533-position model. The record is from RNAcentral.
GAUGAACGCUGGCGGCGUGCCUAAUACAUGCCAGUAGAACGCUGAAGGAAGGAGCUUGCUCUUUCCGGAUGAGUUGCGAACGGGUGAGUAACGCGUAGGUAACCUGCCUGGUAGCGGGGGAUAACUUUUGGAAACGAUAGCUAAUACCGCAUAACAGUAGAUGUUGCAUGAUAUCUACUUAAAAGGUGCAAUUGCACCACUACCAGAUGGACCUGCGUUGUAUUAGCUAGUUGGUGAGGUAACGGCUCACCAAGGCGACGAUACAUAGCCGACCUGAGAGGGUGAUCGGCCACACUGGGACUGAGACACGGCCCAGACUCCUACGGGAGGCAGCAGUAGGGAAUCUUCGGCAAUGGACGGAAGUCUGACCGAGCAACGCCGCGUGAGUGAAGAAGGUUUUCGGAUCGUAAAGCUCUGUUGUAAGAGAAGAACGAGUGUGAGAGUGGAAAGUUCACACUGUGACGGUAGCUUACCAGAAAGGGACGGCUAACUACGUG